This 1372-nucleotide ribosomal RNA is filed under the name uncultured bacterium. RNAcentral describes it as "bacterial SSU rRNA". It matches the Rfam family "Bacterial small subunit ribosomal RNA", at positions 28 to 1381 of the family's 1533-position model. The record is from RNAcentral.
GAUGAACGCUGGCGGCGUGCCUAAUACAUGCAAGUCGAGCGAACGGACGAGAAGCUUGCUUCUCUGAUGUUAGCGGCGGACGGGUGAGUAACACGUGGAUAACCUACCUAUAAGACUGGGAUAACUUCGGGAAACCGGAGCUAAUACCGGAUAAUAUUUUGAACCGCAUGGUUCAAAAGUGAAAGACGGUCUUGCUGUCACUUAUAGAUGGAUCCGCGCUGCAUUAGCUAGUUGGUAAGGUAACGGCUUACCAAGGCAACGAUGCAUAGCCGACCUGAGAGGGUGAUCGGCCACACUGGAACUGAGACACGGUCCAGACUCCUACGGGAGGCAGCAGUAGGGAAUCUUCCGCAAUGGGCGAAAGCCUGACGGAGCAACGCCGCGUGAGUGAUGAAGGUCUUCGGAUCGUAAAACUCUGUUAUUAGGGAAGAACAUAUGUGUAAGUAACUGUGCACAUCUUGACGGUACCUAAUCAGAAAGCCACGGCUAACUACGUGCCAGCAGCCGCGGUAAUACGUAGGCGGCAAGCGUUAUCCGGAAUUAUUGGGCGUAAAGCGCGCGUAGGCGGUUUUUUAAGUCUGAUGUGAAAGCCCACGGCUCAACCGUGGAGGGUCAUUGGAAACUGGAAAACUUGAGUGCAGAAGAGGAAAGUGGAAUUCCAUGUGUAGCGGUGAAAUGCGCAGAGAUAUGGAGGAACACCAGUGGCGAAGGCGACUUUCUGGUCUGUAACUGACGCUGAUGUGCGAAAGCGUGGGGAUCAAACAGGAUUAGAUACCCUGGUAGUCCACGCCGUAAACGAUGAGUGCUAAGUGUUAGGGGGUUUCCGCCCCUUAGUGCUGCAGCUAACGCAUUAAGCACUCCGCCUGGGGAGUACGACCGCAAGGUUGAAACUCAAAGGAAUUGACGGGGACCCGCACAAGCGGUGGAGCAUGUGGUUUAAUUCGAAGCAACGCGAAGAACCUUACCAAAUCUUGACAUCCUUUGACAACUCUAGAGAUAGAGCCUUCCCCUUCGGGGGACAAAGUGACAGGUGGUGCAUGGUUGUCGUCAGCUCGUGUCGUGAGAUGUUGGGUUAAGUCCCGCAACGAGCGCAACCCUUAAGCUUAGUUGCCAUCAUUAAGUUGGGCACUCUAAGUUGACUGCCGGUGACAAACCGGAGGAAGGUGGGGAUGACGUCAAAUCAUCAUGCCCCUUAUGAUUUGGGCUACACACGUGCUACAAUGGACAAUACAAAGGGCAGCGAAACCGCGAGGUCGAGCAAAUCCCAUAAAGUUGUUCUCAGUUCGGAUUGUAGUCUGCAACUCGACUACAUGAAGCUGGAAUCGCUAGUAAUCGUAGAUCAGCAUGCUACGGUGAAUACGUUCCCGGGUCU